Long non-coding RNA from Pongo pygmaeus (Bornean orangutan), 445 nucleotides. RefSeq lists it as uncharacterized. NCBI's taxonomy places the organism in Eukaryota, Metazoa, Chordata, Mammalia, Primates, Hominidae. The record is from RefSeq and is a predicted model, not a curated record. The transcript is spliced from 4 exons.
GAGAGUGGAAGUCAAGUCCCACAGGUGACCAAGCUAGGGAGAGUGUCCCCAGUCACAAUUGGAGUCUUAUGUAAGAAGAAAUAAGGAAGGCUACUGGGUUGAAUCUGAAAGUAGAAAACUCAUAACAAGGCUAUGUGUGAACAUCAAGAGAGAAUUCAAGAUGGCGGGGAUGACACUCUUUAGUCCAUGUGUGCCUGGUUUUCAUCAUCUCCUUGACUAACACACAUGUGGGCGCCUUUACCUCUGAAGACUUUUUCUCUUCUAACUGAUGAUGCUCCAUUCUCUUCUGACAAAAGCUCCCUGCCGAGGCCUGAUUGAACCUCUGCCCUAUGGUUCCUUGAAACAUCGUCAUAUUCUUGUACUAAAUUCCCCAUUUUCUUAAGCUAGCUCUGGUAAGUUUUUGCCAUUUACAGUCAAAGUGAACUCACUAAUAAAAUAUUCCCAA